Small nucleolar RNA from Macaca fascicularis (crab-eating macaque), 104 nucleotides. The record is from Ensembl. Lineage: Eukaryota; Metazoa; Chordata; Mammalia; Primates; Cercopithecidae.
AUCCUUUUGCAGCUUGUAAGCGUGAUGAUUGGGUGUUUGCGAGAGCGUGUGUGAUGUCCCACCCUCACAUCUUGUUACAACAUCAGCACAUUAGCCGUGCGACA